This 485-nucleotide ribosomal RNA is filed under the name uncultured bacterium. Its description in RNAcentral is "partial 16S ribosomal RNA". It matches the Rfam family "Bacterial small subunit ribosomal RNA", at positions 28 to 507 of the family's 1533-position model. The record is from RNAcentral.
GACGAACGCUGGCGGCGUGCUUAACACAUGCAAGUCGAACGGUAAGGCUCCAGCUUGCUGGGGUACACGAGUGGCGAACGGGUGAGUAACACGUGGGUGACCUGCCCUGCACUUCGGGAUAAGCCUGGGAAACUGGGUCUAAUACCGGAUAGGACCGCACCGUGAGGGUGUGGUGGAAAGUUUUUUCGGUGUGGGAUGGGCCCGCGGCCUAUCAGCUUGUUGGUGGGGUAAUGGCCUACCAAGGCGGCGACGGGUAGCCGGCCUGAGAGGGUGGACGGCCACAUUGGGACUGAGACACGGCCCAGACUCCUACGGGAGGCAGCAGUGGGGAAUAUUGCACAAUGGGCGGAAGCCUGAUGCAGCGACGCCGCGUGCGGGAAGAAGGCCUUCGGGUUGUAAACCGCUUUUGUUCGGGAAGAAAUCCUCUGGGCUAAUACCCCGGGGGGAUGACGGUACCGGAAGAAUAAGCACCGGCUAACUACGUG